GAAACUGCAACGAUCUGAUUCCAGCAUGCAUGAAUGAAAUGAAAUGCUAAAGAAAUUUGUUUAGACUGAAAUGAAAUGACACCAGAUUAAAAGCUCAUCUCCUAGAGGAAAAAAACAGCAAUGGAAUGCCUAUCUCUAAGAAGAAUUCUUCUUGGUCCCAUCUGAGGAAUACAAGUUUGAAAAGCUAUACUCCUUGGGUUCCCUGAGCCCUGAUAUGAGGGAUUUGAUGACGACAUCACAUUUAGGGCAGAGGCAAGGGAAUCUUCAUGAGUUUGAGACAAGCUUGAUCUGCAGAGUGAAACCCAAGACAGCCAUGGCUAUACAACACUGUAAAAUACUGCCUCAGAGAACCAAUAAAAAAGGGAAGAAGAAGCAAUUUCCAGUAGGAGCUUCCUAAAAUACAUACAUACAUGAAGGUGAUCUAAAUGAAAUCACCAAAUACUGGGGAGUGGGACAGAACUCCAACUGGUAAUCCAGGACUGGCUUACUUCUAAUUGAGUUGGCAAAACUGGUCACAUUGGAAUCCCCAAACAACCCAGCCUGUUUCCAAGACUACUGGUUACUUAAAAAACAUACUGACAAGACCCUACUGCUGAAGACAAUACCUACACAAAUCAUUGAACACUGAGAAGUUGAUGUAGUGUCUAUGUAGAGCCUUUACUCCUACAUUCUAACAUCUUUAGUACAAGAAAGGCUCUUUGCAUGAUACCAAAAGAGAAAUAUAAACACCAACCAAGCCACAACCCCUCUGAUUGGCAAUGGUGUCCUGCUUGCAAGGUAUGCUAGUGCAACAAUGAUACCAAAUUUGUGGGAAGUAACCAGUUAAUAUUUGAUUUGACUUAAGGCUCCCUCCACAAGAUAGAACCCAUAGUCGAUACUGACUGGGUGACCAAGACCCUGAGACUAGAUGGACCCAGUGAAAACCAAAUUCUAUUGUUCUAAGAAGAAGGAAAAGCAGCAAUAAAAUGACCCCUAAUGGCAUUCUUCUAUGCUCAUAGAUCAGUGCCUCUUUCAGAAAUCACCCAACAAGUUUCUUCCUGUAGCAGAUAGGAACAAAUGCAGAGAUCCUCAGCCACUUCUCAGACCAGUAAUUAGAAUUCUACUGGUGACAUUUGGGCUUGUAAGUUGCUGGUUAUGUAUGAGGGACAGUCUGGCACAAACAUCCUCUAACCCUGGUAGCAUCUAACUAGCUAAAAGACCAUGUGCCUAGAUAUUUACUUCCUAACAGGACAACAGCUAUUGGUUAUCUCUAAAUAAAUAUGAAGAGCUGGGCACAUUCAUAGUAUCAACUUCCUCACCACUUUUGCAACAUCUUUGACAUCUAUUUCUAGACUAUCUUAUUAUGUGUCAAUCAUUACUCUAAUAUGAUGCAAUUAUGAGUCAAAAGAUUCUCCAGUCCUUUCAUUAUAUUACAUAUCUGUUUUUCUUUUUAAAAUAUUAACUCACUGCUGAGUUAUUUAGAAUGAAUUGGGUUGUUUUAAGACAAAUUUUCAUUCCAUAUCUGUGACAGGUCUCAGUCUCUAGGUCUUCCUGAAGCAGCCUCCCAAGUAGCUGGGACGAGAGAACCACAUCUGGCUUUAGAAUUACACUUUUUAAAACAAUAUUUGCAAUGCAUUAUUUGAAGUUUCCAUUCAUUUAUUUAAUGUGCUUUUAUCACAGUCAUCCACCAUUAUCCCCCAACUCUUCAUAGUGCCUCAUGCUAUAUCUCUUCUUUUUUUUUCCUUUUUUCAUUUGCCCUCUUUUGCUAAUGAUCAUUAAAACCACUGGAUUCCAAUUAGUACUGCCCCUAAGCACAUGGGAGUGAGAUCAUACAUUGGAUCAUGGUCAACAACCAAGAUCUCAGGUGGGAGUGACCCAUUUCUCCCUUAUCAACUAUAAACUACUAGUAGCUCUUCUACCAGUGGUAGACCUUGGGAUCCCAUCCACCAUUCACACUAGAAUUUUGAACUUGAUCUUGCACAGGUUACUGUACCUGCAAUGACUUGAUACAUGAAGCAGCCAUGUCGUGUCCAGAAGUUAGCAUUUCAUGGCUCUCCUUCUAUUUGCCAGUUCUUUUAUUCAUUUAAAGGCUUUCAGAGGAAUUCAGGACCAACACAUUUUUUGACACUUUGUAUCUUCAGAAUGCCUCUAGUGUCCAUCAUGUCUGAGUACAUUGCAUAGUCUCAUGGGAGAGAAGUGUCUCUAUGCCAUUUCCCCUCAAAUCUCUGUAGACAGUGGCACACUCUCUGAAUCUAAGAAGGGAACCCAUGAUAGACUGACUGUAGCCAUGUCUUCAUCUUCCUGUAUCUUUUAAUUUUUUUAACCAAAUGUCAUAAAAAUUUUUUAAAUCUCUUCAGGUUGUUAUUGGGACGCUAAACAAAGCCCUUAACCUCUGAAGAUUCUGCUAUCCCUUUAUAAAAACAAGUUGUCUUCAGUAAUUCACUCUUUAUGUUUGCAUACCAAAAAAAUCUUGUCUGUA
This is a non-coding RNA of Cricetulus griseus (Chinese hamster), 2458 nucleotides long. NCBI's taxonomy places the organism in Eukaryota, Metazoa, Chordata, Mammalia, Rodentia, Cricetidae. The record is from RefSeq and is a predicted model, not a curated record.